RNAcentral lists this ribosomal RNA (255 nucleotides) under uncultured bacterium. RNAcentral's name for it is "partial 16S ribosomal RNA". It matches the Rfam family "Bacterial small subunit ribosomal RNA", at positions 524 to 777 of the family's 1533-position model. The record is from RNAcentral.
UACGGGGGGGGCAAGCGUUGUUCGGAAUUACUGGGCGUAAAGGGCUCGUAGGCGGCCAUCUAAGUCGGACGUGAAAGUCCCUCGGCUUAACCGGGGAACUGCGUCCGAUACUGGAGGGCUCGAGUGUGGGAGAGGGAUGCGGAAUUCCAGGUGUAGCGGUGAAAUGCGUAGAUAUCUGGAGGAACACCGGUGGCGAAGGCGGCAUCCUGGACCAUUACUGACGCUGAGGAGCGAAAGCCAGGGGAGCAAAACGGG